GGCCUAACACAUGCAAGUCGAGGGGUAUGCUUCUUCGGAAGCAGAGACCGGCGCACGGGUGCGUAACGCGUAUGCAAUCUACCUUUUACAGAGGGAUAGCCCAGAGAAAUUUGGAUUAAUACCUCAUAGCAUAGCAGUCUCGCAUGAGAUCACUAUUAAAGUCACAACGGUAAAAGAUGAGCAUGCGUCCCAUUAGCUAGUUGGUAAGGUAACGGCUUACCAAGGCUACGAUGGGUAGGGGUCCUGAGAGGGAGAUCCCCCACACUGGUACUGAGACACGGACCAGACUCCUACGGGAGGCAGCAGUGAGGAAUAUUGGACAAUGGGCGCAAGCCUGAUCCAGCCAUGCCGCGUGCAGGAUGACGGUCCUAUGGAUUGUAAACUGCUUUUAUACGAGAAGAAACACUGCUUCGUGAAGCAGCUUGACGGUAUCGUAAGAAUAAGGAUCGG
RNAcentral lists this ribosomal RNA (450 nucleotides) under uncultured Flavobacteriia bacterium. RNAcentral describes it as "bacterial SSU rRNA". It matches the Rfam family "Bacterial small subunit ribosomal RNA", at positions 45 to 496 of the family's 1533-position model. Lineage: Bacteria; Pseudomonadati; Bacteroidota; Flavobacteriia. The record is from RNAcentral.